Molecule: ribosomal RNA, 683 nt
Filed under: uncultured Nitrososphaerota archaeon
Lineage: Archaea; Thermoproteati; Nitrososphaerota
Description: bacterial SSU rRNA
Rfam family: Archaeal small subunit ribosomal RNA
Source: RNAcentral
GCGGCAUACGGCUCAGUAACACGUAGUCAACAUGCCCAGGGGACGUGGAUAACCUCGGGAAACUGAGGAUAAACCGCGAUAGGUCAUCACUUCUGGAAUGGGUAAUGACUUAAACCUAUAUGGCCCCUGGAUUGGACUGCGGCCGAUCAGGCUGUUGGUGAGGUAAUGGCCCACCAAACCUGUAACCGGUACGGGCUCUGAGAGGAGGAGCCCGGAGAUGGGCACUGAGACAAGGGCCCAGGCCCUAUGGGGCGCAGCAGGCGCGAAACCUCUGCAAUAGGCGAAAGCUUGACAGGGUUACUCUGAGUGAUUUCCGUUAAGGAGAUCUUUUGGCAUCUCUAAAAAUGGUGCAGAAUAAGGGGUGGGCAAGUCUGGUGUCAGCCGCCGCGGUAAUACCAGCACCCCGAGUGGUCGGGACGUUUAUUGGGCCUAAAGCAUCCGUAGCCGGUUCUACAAGUCUUCCGUUAAAUCCACCUGCUUAACAGAUGGGCUGCGGAAGAUACUAUAGAGCUAGGAGGCGGGAGAGGCAAGCGGUACUCGAUGGGUAGGGGUAAAAUCCGUUGAUCCAUUGAAGACCACCAGUGGCGAAGGCGGCUUGCCAGAACGCGCUCGACGGUGAGGGAUGAAAGCUGGGGGAGCAAACCGGAUUAGAUACCCGGGCAGUCCCAGCUGUAAACGAUGCA